This 419-nucleotide ribosomal RNA is filed under the name bacterium. RNAcentral describes it as "partial 16S ribosomal RNA". It matches the Rfam family "Bacterial small subunit ribosomal RNA", at positions 355 to 776 of the family's 1533-position model. The record is from RNAcentral.
UGGGGGAUAUUGCACAAUGGGCGAAAGCCUGAUGCAGCGACGCCGCGUGGGGGAUGAAGGCCUUCGGGUUGUAAACUUCUUUUGCUCUGAACAAGGCAUGCUAAUGGGUGUGUUGAGUGUAGGGGUUGAUUAGCGCCGGCUAACUACGUGCCAGCAGCCGCGGUAAUACGUAGGGCGCGAGCGUUGUCCGGAAUUAUUGGGCGUAAAGGGCUUGUAGGUGGCUGGUUGCGUCUGUCGUGAAAGCUCAUGGCUUAACUGUGGGUUUGCGGUGGGUACGGGCUGGCUUGAGUGCCGUAGGGGAGGCUGGAAUUCCUGGUGUAGCGGUGGAAUGCGCAGAUAUCAGGAGGAAUACCGGUGGCGAAGGCGGGUCUCUGGGCUGUUACUGACACUGAGGAGCGAAAGCAUGGGGAGCGAACAGG